GAUGAACGCUGGCGGUAUACUUAACACAUGCAAGUCGAACGGACUCUUCGGAGUUAGUGGCGGACGGGUGAGUAACGCGUGAGAAUCUGGCUUUGGGUUCGGGACAACCACUGGAAACGGUGGCUAAUACCGGAUGUGCCGAGAGGUAAAAGAGAAAUUGCCUGAAGAUGAGCUCGCGUCUGAUUAGCUAGUUGGUGAGGUAAAGGCUCACCAAGGCAGCGAUCAGUAGCUGGUCUGAGAGGAUGACCAGCCACACUGGGACUGAGACACGGCCCAGACUCCUACGGGAGGCAGCAGUGGGGAAUUUUCCGCAAUGGGCGAAAGCCUGACGGAGCAAUACCGCGUGAGGGAAGAAGGCUCUUGGGUUGUAAACCUCUUUUCUUAGGGAAGAACAAAAUGACGGUACCUAAGGAAUCAGCAUCGGCUAACUCCGUG
This 435-nucleotide ribosomal RNA is filed under the name uncultured bacterium. RNAcentral describes it as "partial 16S ribosomal RNA". It matches the Rfam family "Bacterial small subunit ribosomal RNA", at positions 28 to 507 of the family's 1533-position model. The record is from RNAcentral.